RNAcentral lists this ribosomal RNA (433 nucleotides) under uncultured bacterium. RNAcentral's name for it is "bacterial SSU rRNA". It matches the Rfam family "Bacterial small subunit ribosomal RNA", at positions 29 to 507 of the family's 1533-position model. The record is from RNAcentral.
AACGAACGCUGGCGGCAGGCCUAACACAUGCAAGUCGAACGCCCUCUUCGGAGGGAGUGGCAGACGGGUGAGUAACGCGUGGGAACGUGCCCUUCAGUUCGGAAUAACCCAGGGAAACUUGGGCUAAUACCGGAUACGUGCGAGAGCAGAAAGAUUUAUCGCUGAAGGAUCGGCCCGCGUCUGAUUAGCUAGUUGGUGAGGUAACGGCUCACCAAGGCGACGAUCAGUAGCUGGUCUGAGAGGAUGAUCAGCCACAUUGGGACUGAGACACGGCCCAAACUCCUACGGGAGGCAGCAGUGGGGAAUAUUGGACAAUGGGCGCAAGCCUGAUCCAGCCAUGCCGCGUGAGUGAUGAAGGCCUUAGGGUUGUAAAGCUCUUUCGGCGGGGACGAUAAUGACGGUACCCGCAGAAGAAGCCCCGGCUAACUUCGUG